Molecule: ribosomal RNA, 571 nt
Filed under: Aestuariibacter sp.
Lineage: Bacteria; Pseudomonadati; Pseudomonadota; Gammaproteobacteria; Alteromonadales; Alteromonadaceae
Description: bacterial SSU rRNA
Rfam family: Bacterial small subunit ribosomal RNA
Source: RNAcentral
GAUACGCGAGGAACCUUACCUGGGCUUAAAUGUAAAACGACGGAUCGGGAAACUGAUCUUUCUUAGGACGCUUUGCAAGGUGCUGCAUGGCUGUCGUCAGCUCGUGCCGUGAGGUGUCGGGUUAAGUCCCAUAACGAGCGCAACCCCUAUUCUUAGUUACCAGCACGUAAUGGUGGGGACUCUAAGAAGACUGCCUGGGUAACCAGAGAGGAAGGUGGGGAUGACGUCAAAUCAGCACGGCCCUUACGUCCAGGGCUACACACGUGUUACAAUGGUCGGUACAAAGGGCAGCUACAUGGCAACAUGAUGCUAAUCUCUAAAACCGGUCUCAGUUCGGAUCGGAGUCUGCAACUCGACUUCGUGAAGCUGGAUUCGCUAGUAAUCGCGCAUCAGCCACGGCGCGGUGAAUACGUUCCCGGGCCUUGUACACACCGCCCGUCAAGCCAUGGAAGCUGGGGGUACCUGAAGUCCGUAACCGUAAGGAGCGGCCUAGGGUAAAACUAGUAACUGGGGCUAAGUCGUAACAAGGUAGCCGUACCGGAAGGUGUGGCUGGAACACCUCCUUUUUAGA